AGCGAACGCUGGCGGCAGGCCUAACACAUGCAAGUCGAACGAACUCUUCGGAGUUAGUGGCGGACGGGUGAGUAACACGUGGUAACGUGCCUUUUGGUUCGGAAUAACUCAGGGAAACUUUUGCUAAUACCGAAUGUGCUCUUCGGGGGAAAGAUUUAUCGCCAUUAGAUCGGCCCGCGUCUGAUUAGCUAGUUGGUGAGGUAAAGGCACACCAAGGCGACGAUCAGUAGCUGGUCUGAGAGGAUGACCAGCCACACUGGGACUGAGACACGGCCCAGACUCAGACGGGAGGCAGCAGUGGGGAAUAUUGCGCAAUGGGCGAAAGACUGACGCAGCAAUGCCGCGGGAAUGAUGAAGGUCUUAGGAUUGUAAAAUUCUUUCACCGGGGACGAUAAUGACGGUACCGGGAGAAGAAGCCCCGGCUAACUUCGUG
RNAcentral lists this ribosomal RNA (433 nucleotides) under uncultured bacterium. RNAcentral's name for it is "partial 16S ribosomal RNA". It matches the Rfam family "Bacterial small subunit ribosomal RNA", at positions 29 to 507 of the family's 1533-position model. The record is from RNAcentral.